GACGGAGGAGGCAAGCGUUGUCCGGAAUCAUUGGGCGUAAAGAGCGCGUAGGCUGUUUUUCAAGUCAUAUGUGAAAACCUCAGGCUUAACUUGAGGAUUGCAUAUGAAACUGGAAGACUUGAGUGCAGUAAGGGAAAGUGGAAUUCCUGGUGUAGCGGUGAAAUGCGCAGAUAUCAGGAAGAACACCGGUAGCGAAGGCGGCUUUCUAGGCUGCUACUGACGCUGAGGCGCGAAAGCUAGGGGAGCGAACAGGAUUAGAUACCCUGGUAGUCCUAGCCGUAAACGAUGGACACUAGGUGUGGGGAGUUAUCGACGCUUUCCGCGCCGAAGUUAACGCAUUAAGUGUCCCGCCUGGGGAGUACGGCCGCAAGGCUAAA
Molecule: ribosomal RNA, 377 nt
Filed under: uncultured bacterium
Lineage: Bacteria
Description: bacterial SSU rRNA
Rfam family: Bacterial small subunit ribosomal RNA
Source: RNAcentral